AAGCAGGAUAAGUUACAAUAUGGCAGUGUGCUGUGUUGUCGUUCCCCCUGCUAAAAAGAACUUGUCUCCUACUAUCCCUGACUGACCACUGUGACAGGCAGGGACGCUUGGUCUCAUACAA
Molecule: small nucleolar RNA, 121 nt
Organism: Pseudophryne corroboree (corroboree frog)
Lineage: Eukaryota; Metazoa; Chordata; Amphibia; Anura; Myobatrachidae
Product: small nucleolar RNA SNORA63
Exons: 1
Source: RefSeq, a predicted model, not a curated record